RNAcentral lists this ribosomal RNA (253 nucleotides) under uncultured bacterium. RNAcentral's name for it is "partial 16S ribosomal RNA". It matches the Rfam family "Bacterial small subunit ribosomal RNA", at positions 524 to 776 of the family's 1533-position model. The record is from RNAcentral.
UACGUAGGGUGCGAGCGUUAAUCGGAAUUACUGGGCGUAAAGCGUGCGCAGGCGGUUUGCUAAGACCGAUGUGAAAUCCCCGGGCUUAACCUGGGAACUGCAUUGGUGACUGGCAGGCUAGAGUAUGGCAGAGGGGGGUAGAAUUCCACGUGUAGCAGUGAAAUGCGUAGAGGUGUGGAGGAAUACCGAUGGCGAAGGCAGCCCCCUGGGCCAAUACUGACGCUCAUGCACGAAAGCGUGGGGAGCAAACAGG